RNAcentral lists this non-coding RNA (29 nucleotides) under Rattus norvegicus (Norway rat). The record is from RNAcentral. Lineage: Eukaryota; Metazoa; Chordata; Mammalia; Rodentia; Muridae.
UGACUUACAUUCACAAAUGAUAUGGAGGU